CUGAUGUUGUAGAUGAUGGGAGCGAUGCCGCUCCACUGGGGUAGGGGAUGUCGCCGAGAGGCGGCGGCAGCAUCGAUUCUGGGGUAGUAGGACGGUGGUGCAGGUCGUCCUUGAGGAGGCGGAGUCGUCGAGGUGGCCGGGGUUGGGCGCGUCAAGGAUGCAGGGUAGCAGGGCCGUGGUGGAGGUCGUCCCCUCGACGGUGGAUCUGGCCGGUGCGCCUGGAUCCAUGGAACUCAAUCCUUGUCAGCCGGAGGUGGUGGCGAUCCUGCACCUGAUCUACCGUAGGUUGCGGGUCAUCGCCCGGUGGUUGAUGGCGCCGUGUCGCCCUGGCUGCUGCGAUGAUACAGGGAAGGAUGCGAAGAGAAUUCUUUCUGAGGGCCAAGAG
This 385-nucleotide ribosomal RNA is filed under the name Triticum aestivum (bread wheat). RNAcentral describes it as "partial small subunit ribosomal RNA". The record is from RNAcentral. Lineage: Eukaryota; Viridiplantae; Streptophyta; Magnoliopsida; Poales; Poaceae.